UAAACCCUUUAACGAGGAUCUAUUGGAGGGCAAGUCUGGUGCCAGCAGCCGCGGUAAUUCCAGCUCCAAUAGCGUAUAUUAAAGUUGUUGCAGUUAAAAAGCUCGUAGUUGGAUCUCGGGUCCAGGCUGGCGGUCCGGCGCAUGCCGGUUACUGCUUGUCCUGACCUACCUCCCGGUCGCGCCCUUGGUGCUCUUGAUUGAGUGUCUCGGGUCGCCGGAACGUUUACUUUGAAAAAAUUAGAGUGUUCAAAGCAGGCAAUUCGCCUGAAUAAUGGUGCAUGGAAUAAUGGAAUAGGACCUCGGUUCUAUUUUGCUGGUUUUCGGAGCUCGAGGUAAUGAUUAAGAGGGACUGACGGGGGCAUUCGUAUUACGGUGUUAGAGGUGAAAUUCUUGGAUCGCCGUAAGACGAACCGCUGCGAAAGCGUUUGCCAAGAAUGUUUUCAUUAGUCAAGAACGAAAGUCAGAGGUUCGAAGACGAUCAGAUACCGUCGUAGUUCUGACCAUAAACGAUGCCAACUAGCGAUCCGCCGGAGUUGCUUCAAUGACUCGGCGGGCAGCCCCCGGGAAACCAAAGUUUUUGGGUUCCGGGGGAAGUAUGGUUGCAAAGCUGAAACUUAA
RNAcentral lists this ribosomal RNA (618 nucleotides) under Xenostrobus securis. RNAcentral describes it as "SSU rRNA". It matches the Rfam family "Eukaryotic small subunit ribosomal RNA", at positions 526 to 1147 of the family's 1831-position model. Lineage: Eukaryota; Metazoa; Mollusca; Bivalvia; Mytilida; Modiolidae. The record is from RNAcentral.